UACGUAGGGGGCAAGCGUUGUUCGGAAUUACUGGGCGUAAAGGGCGCGUAGGCGGCAGGCCAAGUCGGGAGUGAAAGCCCGGGGCUCAACCCCGGAAUGUCUUUCGAAACUGGCCAGCUGGAGUGCGGAAGAGGCAACUGGAAUUCCCAGUGUAGCGGUGAAAUGCGUAGAUAUUGGGAAGAACACCUGAGGCGAAGGCGGGUUGCUGGGCCGACACUGACGCUGAGGCGCGAAAGCUAGGGGAGCAAACAGG
Molecule: ribosomal RNA, 253 nt
Filed under: uncultured bacterium
Lineage: Bacteria
Description: partial 16S ribosomal RNA
Rfam family: Bacterial small subunit ribosomal RNA
Source: RNAcentral